AUUGACUUGGAGAAGGCCUAUGAUAAGAUACCGCGGAAUGUCAUGUGGUGGGACUUGGAGAAACACAAAGUCCCAGCAAAGUACAUUACCCUCAUCAAGGACAUGUACAGUAAUGUUGUGACAAGUGUUCGAACAAGUGAUGUCGACACCGAUGACUUCCCGAUUAAGAUAGGACUGCAUCAGGGGUCAGAUUUGAGCCCUUAUCUUUUUGCAUUGGUGAUGGAUGAGGUCACAAGGGGUAUACAAGGAGAUAUCCCAUGGUGUAUGCUCUUUGCGGAUGAUGUGGUGCUAGUUGACGAUAGUCGAACGGGGGUAAAUAGGAAGUUAGAGUUAUGG
Molecule: ribosomal RNA, 336 nt
Filed under: Triticum aestivum (bread wheat)
Lineage: Eukaryota; Viridiplantae; Streptophyta; Magnoliopsida; Poales; Poaceae
Description: partial small subunit ribosomal RNA
Source: RNAcentral